UUGCAUUUAUAUCAAUAAAAUUUUGUAUAAUAUAAUAUAUUUGUAAGUGAAUAUUUGCAUUUUGAUCUAUUUAUGUCGCGUUCUUAAAUCUAUUGGUAUCAUUUAAUAAUGUCACUACCAAUCGUUAUUUUGACAUUAUGUCUCUACGAAUUUAAUUACAUCACUUUACCUUAUACAAAUUUGUACACAAUAUCCUUAUUGCAAUACUUGCUUAUUGCAUUACCUAAAAUUAAGUUUUGUUAUUUUUCUCUGAGCUCAUCGCGGACUUCAAACAGUUUUGCUCGUUUUAUAUUUCGAUUCACUGGGAGCUGACGUAUUGAGAGUGCGAACGGGUGCAAGUUCGUGACUGGCGAGUGUAUGACAAUGGCCAAAUUGUUACAUAACAAAAUAAGUCGAUGCUCAGCACAUAGCAGUGCGCGUGACAUGUAACACGUCCAAUUACACUUUUGAUGAAUAGUCGUCACCUGCAAGCCAUAUACAAUUUUAGGAAGCAUUUCAUUUGUUGACUAAACUAUUUGUUUACACUUAUUUACGCUUAUUAUUAUUAUUAUUAUUACAUUUAUUUAUAUUUA
This is a long non-coding RNA of Bombyx mori (domestic silkworm), 572 nucleotides long. RefSeq lists it as uncharacterized. Lineage: Eukaryota; Metazoa; Arthropoda; Insecta; Lepidoptera; Bombycidae. The record is from RefSeq and is a predicted model, not a curated record. The transcript has 2 exons.